AGUGAGAGAGAGUGUGAGAGCGUUCUUAUUGGCUGUUCUGUACAUGCAUUGCGUGUGUGACAGGAGGGAGAGGGAGAGCUGCAGGAAGAGGUCUUACUCUACUUCAAAUUCUGGCUUUUUUGCUUUCUUCCCACUGCAGCUUUAACUGCUUCAAGUGGAUUUUUUUCUGCUUCUUCUUCUCUGCCUCUUUUUCCUGAUGAAUUGUAGACAUUAUGAGGUCACAACUCCUAAGCAGAAAGACAUUGUUCAGGAGAAUAACAAGACAUGUUAUUCUCCUGAACUCUGGAUGAAUCAAGACUCAGCAAUCAUUGUCUUUCUAGAAAACAUCUUUACAAAUUAACACUGUCAUCCUCUUUACUUUCUGUUAAUCUGAUUUAAACAUUUUUUUUUUUUUAAACAUAAAAACCUGUUCAACUCUGACCCUCAGAUUCAAAACUUCUCUAAAAACUGGAAUUAAGGGUGAG
This is a long non-coding RNA of Sander lucioperca (pikeperch), 464 nucleotides long. RefSeq lists it as uncharacterized. NCBI's taxonomy places the organism in Eukaryota, Metazoa, Chordata, Actinopteri, Perciformes, Percidae. The transcript is spliced from 3 exons. The record is from RefSeq and is a predicted model, not a curated record.